CCCUACGGGGCGCAGCAGGCGCGAAAACUGCACAAUGCUGGAAACAGCGAUGCGGGAAUUCCAAGUGCCAGCACAGAGUGUUGGCUGUUCCAUUGUCUAAAAAGCAUAGGAAGUAAGGGCUGGGUAAGACGGGUGCCAGCCGCCGCGGUAAUACCUGCAGCCCGAGUGGUGGCCGUUAUUAUUGGGCCUAAAACGUCCGUAGCCUGUUUGGUAGAUGCCUGUGUAAAUCGAACGGCUUAACCGUUCGAACUGCGGGUAGACCGCCAGACUUGGGACCGGGAGAGUCACGAAGUACUCCGGGGGUAGAGGUGAAAUCCUGUAAUCCA
RNAcentral lists this ribosomal RNA (326 nucleotides) under uncultured archaeon. Its description in RNAcentral is "bacterial SSU rRNA". It matches the Rfam family "Archaeal small subunit ribosomal RNA", at positions 321 to 649 of the family's 1478-position model. The record is from RNAcentral.